Molecule: ribosomal RNA, 468 nt
Filed under: uncultured bacterium
Lineage: Bacteria
Description: partial 16S ribosomal RNA
Rfam family: Bacterial small subunit ribosomal RNA
Source: RNAcentral
GACGAACGCUGGCGGCGUGCUUAACACAUGCAAGUCGAACGGAAAGGCCCUGCUUUGGUGGGGUGCUCGAGUGGCGAACGGGAGAGUAACACGUGAGUAAACUGCCCUUGACUAUGGGAUAACUUCAGGAAACUGGGGCUAAUACCGGAUAGGAGCUCCUGCUGCAUGGUGGGGGUGGGAAAGUUUCGGCGGUUGGGGAUGGACUCGCGGCUUAUCAGCUUGUUGGUGGGGUAGUGGCUUACCAAGGCUUUGCCGGGUAGCCGGCCUGAGAGGGUGACCGGCCACAUUGGGACUGAGAUACGGCCCAGACUCCUACGGGAGGCAGCAGUGGGGAAUAUUGCACUAUGGGCGGAAGCCUGAUGCAGCAACGCCGCGUGCGGGAUGACGGCCUUCGGGUUGUAAUCCGCUUUCGCCUGUGACGAAGCGUGAGUGACGGUAAUGGGUAGAGAAGCACCGGCUAACUACGUG